Molecule: transfer RNA, 72 nt
Filed under: Paludibacteraceae bacterium
Lineage: Bacteria; Pseudomonadati; Bacteroidota; Bacteroidia; Bacteroidales; Paludibacteraceae
Also listed under: 1 other name
Description: tRNA-Glu
Rfam family: tRNA
About the family: Transfer RNA (tRNA) molecules are approximately 80 nucleotides in length. Their secondary structure includes four short double-helical elements and three loops (D, anti-codon, and T loops). Further hydrogen bonds mediate the characteristic L-shaped molecular structure. tRNAs have two regions of fundamental functional importance: the anti-codon, which is responsible for specific mRNA codon recognition, and the 3' end, to which the tRNAs corresponding amino acid is attached (by aminoacyl-tRNA synthetases). tRNAs cope with the degeneracy of the genetic code in two manners: having more than one tRNA (with a specific anti-codon) for a particular amino acid; and 'wobble' base-pairing, i.e. permitting non-standard base-pairing at the 3rd anti-codon position.
Source: RNAcentral
GGCGGAUUCGUCUAUCGGCUAGGACGGAUGCCUCUCACGCAUCAAAGAGCAGUUCGAUUCUGCUAUCCGCUA